Molecule: non-coding RNA, 229 nt
Filed under: Enterococcus sp.
Lineage: Bacteria; Bacillati; Bacillota; Bacilli; Lactobacillales; Enterococcaceae
Description: T-box sequence
Rfam family: T-box leader
About the family: Uncharged tRNA acts as the effector for transcription antitermination of genes in the T-box leader family. T-boxes are found upstream of many aminoacyl-tRNA synthetase genes and some amino acid biosynthetic genes usually in Gram-positive bacteria.
Source: RNAcentral
ACUAAGACACAGAACAGAAAAAUUUCUUAUAUUUUUCAAGCGAGUUUGGGAGAGUGGAAGCCAAAUAAAACCCUGUAAGAAAUCAGAUCAUCUGUGAGUUGCGUUCUUGAAAGAGCUGACUUUUCAAAGACUCGAGUAGAGAACGACGCCUGAUCCCGUUACCGGUCAUCAAAGAAUUGUCAAAUGACAAUUAAAUUUGGGUGGUACCACGAACACGUUCGUCCCUUGC